UACUGGAACGGUAGCUAAUACCGCAUAACGUCGCAAGACCAAAGAGGGGGACCUUCGGGCCUCUUGCCAUCGGAUGUGCCCAGAUGGGAUUAGCUAGUAGGUGGGGUAACGGCUCACCUAGGCGACGAUCCCUAGCUGGUCUGAGAGGAUGACCAGCCACACUGGAACUGAGACACGGUCCAGACUCCUACGGGAGGCAGCAGUGGGGAAUAUUGCACAAUGGGCGCAAGCCUGAUGCAGCCAUGCCGCGUGUAUGAAGAAGGCCUUCGGGUUGUAAAGUACUUUCAGCGGGGAGGAAGGGAGUAAAGUUAAUACCUUUGCUCAUUGACGUUACCCGCAGAAGAAGCACCGGCUAACUCCGUGCCAGCAGCCGCGGUAAUACGGAGGGUGCAAGCGUUAAUCGGAAUUACUGGGCGUAAAGCGCACGCAGGCGGUUUGUUAAGUCAGAUGUGAAAUCCCCGGGCUCAACCUGGGAACUGCAUCUGAUACUGGCAAGCUUGAGUCUCGUAGAGGGGGGUAGAAUUCCAGGUGUAGCGGUGAAAUGCGUAGAGAUCUGGAGGAAUACCGGUGGCGAAGGCGGCCCCCUGGACGAAGACUGACGCUCAGGUGCGAAAGCGUGGGGAGCAAACAGGAUUAGAUACCCUGGUAGUCCACGCCGUAAACGAUGUCGACUUGGAGGUUGUGCCCUUGAGGCGUGGCUUCCGGAGCUAACGCGUUAAGUCGACCGCCUGGGGAGUACGGCCGCAAGGUUAAAACUCAAAUGAAUUGACGGGGGCCCGCACAAGCGGUGGAGCAUGUGGUUUAAUUCGAUGCAACGCGAAGAACCUUACCUGGUCUUGACAUCCACGGAAGUUUUCAGAGAUGAGAAUGUGCCUUCGGGAACCGUGAGACAGGUGCUGCAUGGCUGUCGUCAGCUCGUGUUGUGAAAUGUUGGGUUAAGUCCCGCAACGAGCGCAACCCUUAUCCUUUGUUGCCAGCGGUCCGGCCGGGAACUCAAAGGAGACUGCCAGUGAUAAACUGGAGGAAGGUGGGGAUGACGUCAA
RNAcentral lists this ribosomal RNA (1043 nucleotides) under Escherichia coli. RNAcentral's name for it is "bacterial SSU rRNA". It matches the Rfam family "Bacterial small subunit ribosomal RNA", at positions 148 to 1188 of the family's 1533-position model. Lineage: Bacteria; Pseudomonadati; Pseudomonadota; Gammaproteobacteria; Enterobacterales; Enterobacteriaceae. The record is from RNAcentral.